RNAcentral lists this RNase P RNA (362 nucleotides) under Candidatus Woesearchaeota archaeon. RNAcentral's name for it is "RNase P RNA component". It matches the Rfam family "Archaeal RNase P". Rfam says of the family: Ribonuclease P (RNase P) is a ubiquitous endoribonuclease, found in archaea, bacteria and eukarya as well as chloroplasts and mitochondria. Lineage: Archaea; Nanobdellati; Candidatus Woesearchaeota. The record is from RNAcentral.
GGGAACGUGAUUUCACUACCGGACUGCCCAAGACGGCAGCACUGAGGAAAGUCCACCCACACGACCCCAGAACUGCGGCUCAAUACCUGGUUUUGGGAGGAAAAUGCCACUCUUGGAAGAGAGGCCCAGCAAUGGACGGCAACUGCACAGCAACGACACUCCCUGUGGAAUGGGAUGAGAUGGAGAAGGCCUUGGCGACAAGGCUCGAGAUAACCCGUCGACGUCUCCACAGGUGCAGGUGAAACGGCAAGCCCUGGCAUGUGCAAGCUGAAAACGCGCUUAGACGAAUGUGAAGAAGGGUCAUCGAUCAGGCAAUCCUUGUCUGGUUUUGGGCCCUACAGAAGGUGGCUUACCACGUUCCC